GCAAAACGCGAAGAACCUUACCCACCUUUGACAUGUACGGAAUCCUUUAGAGAUAGAGGAGUGCUCGAAAGAGAGCCGUAACACAGGUGCUGCAUGGCUGUCGUCAGCUCGUGUCGUGAGAUGUUGGGUUAAGUCCCGCAACGAGCGCAACCCUUGCCAUUAGUUGCUACAUUUAGUUGAGCACUCUAAUGGGACUGCCGGUGACAAACCGGAGGAAGGUGGGGAUGACGUCAAGUCCUCAUGGCCCUUAUAGGUGGGGCUACACACGUCAUACAAUGGCUGGUACAAAGGGUUGCCAACCCGCGAGGGGGAGCUAAUCCCAUAAAGCCAGUCGUAGUCCGGAUCGCAGUCUGCAACUCGACUGCGUGAAGUCGGAAUCACUAGUAAUCGUGGAUCAGAAUGUCGCGGUGAAUACGUUCCCGGGUCUUGUACACACCG
This 438-nucleotide ribosomal RNA is filed under the name uncultured bacterium. Its description in RNAcentral is "bacterial SSU rRNA". It matches the Rfam family "Bacterial small subunit ribosomal RNA", at positions 954 to 1392 of the family's 1533-position model. The record is from RNAcentral.